RNAcentral lists this ribosomal RNA (413 nucleotides) under uncultured microorganism. RNAcentral describes it as "bacterial SSU rRNA". It matches the Rfam family "Archaeal small subunit ribosomal RNA", at positions 330 to 745 of the family's 1478-position model. The record is from RNAcentral.
GUGCACCAGGCGCGAAUCCUUCGCAAUGCGGGAAACCGCGACGAGGGGACUCCCAGUGCCUACGCUCAGCGUAGGCUGUUCCCGAGCCUAGAAAGCUCGGGGAGUAAGGGCUGGGUAAGACGGGUGCCAGCCGCCGCGGUAAUACCCGCAGCCCGAGUGGUGGCCACUAUUAUUGGGCCUAAAGCGUCCGUAGCCGGCCCGGUAAAUGCCUGGGUAAAUCGUGAGGCCUAACCUCACGAAUUCCGGGUAGACUGCCGGGCUAGGGACCGGAGGAGGGAGAGGGUACUCCAGGGGUAGGGGUGAAAUCCUGUAAUCCCUGGAGGACCACCGGUGGCGAAGGCGCUCUCCUAGGACGGGUCCGACGGUGAGGGACGAAAGCCAGGGGAGCGAACCGGAUUAGAUACCCGUGUAGU